GCUGCAGCCGCUCCGGGGGCGCCCUAAAGCUGGCGCCACCUUCUGUUUGUCUCUUCGAGUGAACAAUAAAGUUUCCAAAGUUUGAAAAGGGAGCAGGAAAGCCCCCGCCCCCGAGGGCCGGGGUGUGGAUGCCCGCGGGCCCGCCGAGCUGCGGUCCGGACCCGGCGCGGGCGUGGUGGACGCGGGCAUGGGCGUCACGGUGGACGUGCACCAGGUGUACAAGUACCCCUUCGAGCAGGUGGUCGCCAGCUUCCUGCGGAAGUAUCCCAACCCCAUGGAUAAAAAUGUCAUCUCUGUAAAAAUUGUGGAGGAAAGAAAAGAUGAAACAACAGGAAUCAUCUAUAGAAAGAGGAUUGCAAUCUGUCAGAAUGUGAUUCCAGAAAUUUUAAGGAAGGUGAGCAUUUUAAAGGUACCUACUGUCCAGUUAGAAGAAGAAUCAUGGCUCAAUCUUCAGGAAAGAAACAUGGCUAUACGGAGUCACUGCCUUACAUGGACACAGUACGCAUCCCUGAAGGAAGAGUCUGUCUUCAGGGAAAGUAUGGAAAAUCCAAAUUGGACAGAGUUCAUUCAAAGAGGCAGGAUUUCAAUCACAGGGGCUGGAUUUCUCAACUAUAUUUUGGAAACUUUUGCCAGCACUUUCUUAAGACAGGGAGCCCAGAAGCAGCUCCCCUGUGCUGACCUUCUCAACCGCACUUCAAGCAUGCUGUUAAGCAGACUGUACUGUAAUUCUGAAAUUCACAUUCAUUGGCUGGCAUGCAGGAGUUCUAUUCCGUGUCAGAUUCUGCAGUAGAUAAUAAGAUCCAAAUGGAAUUAGAAUAAUGGAGAUGCUGCUGAAGGAACAGUGUGGUGCCCCCUUAGCCGAAUAAAGAAUCACCAGUUUUUGUUGCUUGGACAGUACCUGACACCUCGAUGUUUUGCUGAUUCUGACUUAUUCUUCAUGUCUUGGCUUUUCCUAGUCUUCACUGACAAAAGAGGCCUGAUCAUAUACUAUUUUUCAAUAUAUACUUGUUAUGAUUUAUAUCUAGAUGUCUGCCAAAGCCCCAAAGCAUGCAGUCAUAGGUGAGGAUUGGAAGGUGAUUGUGUUGUGGAGGUUUGGAGCUGAUUUAACGUUAGGAGGUGCCCUCAGGUGGGAAGAGGUGGGUCACUGGGGGUGUGGCCUUGGGUUUAACCCCUUGGCUGCCUACUUCUUUCUCUCUCUCCUUCCCCCUGACUAGGCAGUGAGCUACUCUCCUAGACCACGUGUCUCUACCCGGCUGUCCUACCUUGGAGCCAGCUGAGUGGGGACUGAAAUAUGAACCAAAAUAAUCAUCUUCUCAAUCGCUGGUGUUGGGUAUUGUAUCUCAGCCAUGAGGGGAUGAUUAAGACAAUACCAUAUUCAUGGAAUUUAAAAAUUAAUUCUUUUACUGGAAAGACUUGCAGUUCUUACAAAUUAUUUGAGUGUUAAGAAGCUGUAAUGAUCAUUCUCAUAAUGUACAUCUAGAGCAUUUAGAUACCUACCAGUGAAUGAAUGAAUGAAUUAAAAAGUGAUUAGUGUUUCUGAACUAAAGCUAAAAGUGAUUAGAAGCUACCAUAGAUCCUGAAUUUCUACUGUUAUCAAUGUGGUAUUUUGAAGUUAGUCACUGUUUGUUUCAGGUACCCUUUUAAAAAGAUUAAAAUUUUUUAAAAAAAUUUUUUUAAAGAAAAAAAAACAGAAAAGAAAAACAGAGAGCAACAGAGACAAAAAACAACAAAUUCAAAUCAAUAACAAUAUACACUUUCAAAACAAGAUGAUAGGAAUUUAACAAUGAUUAUCAUAUGGUGUAUUGUUAUCUUUAAAAGAGUUGCUUAGAUUCCAGAUACAGAAAUGUAAAAUUGAUCUAAUCAUAUGAGUACUAAUUGUUCUUUUCUAAGCAUUAAUAGAAUUAGUAGUAUAGUCAUGUAAGCUAUUAUAUAUAUACAUAUACACAAACUUACGUCUUUUUCCUUUUUCUUCUUUCCUCCUUUCCUCUAUCCCAGUUACUUUUUGCCCUUUGGGUAGUUUCUUAGCUUUAUACAAUGUGUAUUGUUGAUUUUGAAUCUUACUUACUCUUUCCGUUUCUUAUACUAGGGAGACAAUAUAGUAUUUACACGUGAGUUUGAUUUAUUUCACUUAUGAGUAUGGUCUUAAGUUUAUAUGUCCACUUACCUAUAAAAGCCUUGAUCUAGUUCUGCUUUGAAGCUGAAUAAUACUCUAUUCUAUAAAAAUACCACAUCUUUUUUUAUCCAUUCCUCAGUUGAUGGGCAUUUGAGUUGUUUCCAAGACAUGGCUACUACAAAUUGUGCUGUUAUAAACAUGGGUGCACAUACAUCACUGUGGUAUGGUAUUUUCAACUCUUCUAGGAAAAUAUCCAAAGAGGAAUAUCUGGGUCAAAUGAGACCUCCAAUCCUAGCUUUUAAAGGAAACUGCAGACUGAUUUCCACAGUGAUUGCACCACUCUACACUCCUACCAAGAGUGGAGAAGAGUUCCUUUUUCCCCACAGCCCUGCCAGCAUUUGUUAUUGGUUGAUUUCUUGAUUAUAGUCAUUCUUUCUGGAGUGAAACGAAAUCUCAAUGUUGUUUUAAUUUGCAUUUCUCUCAUGACUAAUGAUGCUGAACAUUUUUUCCUAUAUUUAUUUGCCAUUUGUAUUUCUUCAUCUGAAAAGUGUGCAUUCAUCUCAGAUGUCCAUUAUUGGAUUGGGUUCUUGAAUUUUGGGGGCUUGAAUUUUUUAAUUCUUUAUAUGUUCUGGAUAGAAGUCCUUUGUCUGAGGGACAGUUUGCUAAGAUGUUUUCCCAAUUUGUGUUUUUUUUUUUCACUUCGUUGGAAAUUUUUUUUUGAUAUGCAAAAACUUUUUAAUAAGGCAAGGUUCCAUUUAUUGAUCCUGGGAAGUAUUUCCUGUGCAGUUUGAUUUUUGUUAUGAAUUCUCCUCCUACCCCUAUGUCUACAAGAUUUCUACCUACUCUUCCUUCCAGCAAAGUUAGUGUUUUUAUUUUGAUAUUUAGAUAUUUGAUCCAUUUUGACUUUAAUGCGUGGUUAUAGACAUGGGUCUAGUUUUAGAUUUUGGCAUAUGGAAAGCCAGUUUUCCAAGCACCAUUUAUUAAAGAGGCUAUCUUUCUUCCAGUGUACAUGUUUGGCCCCAUUGUCAAAGAUGAAGUGUCUGAGUGUGUUUGUAGCUGUAUCUGCAUCUUUUAAUCUGUUCCAUUCAUCCUCAGGUAUGGUUUUUUUUUUUUUUUUCCAGAACCAUGCAGAUUUUACCACUAUAGCUUCGUAGUGUAAUUUCUUUUUUUUUUGUAUUUUUGUAUUUUUACCGGUACCAGGGAUCAAACUCACGACCAAGCGCUUAUGCCGCUGAGCUAAAUCCCCAGCCCCCGUAGUGUCGGAUUUCAGGUCACGGAUUAUGAUGCCUUCUGCCUUGCCUUUGUUGCACAGGAUUGCUUUUGUUAUUCUAGGUCUCUUAUGUUUCCAAAUGAAUUUCAGGAAUGUUUUCUCUAGAUCUGUAAGGCAUUUUGAUUGGAAUUGCAUUAAAUCUGUAUAACUUGUAGGAGUAUGGCCAUUUUCACAAUGUUGGUUCUUCCUAACCAAGAGCAAAGGGUACCUUUCCAUUUUAUGAUAUCCUCUUUAAUCUCCUUUUUUAGUUUACUAUAUUUUUCAAUGUAUAGAUCUUUUGUUAGGUUGAUCCUUAAUUAUUUCAUUGUUUUGGAUGCUAUUAUAAAGAGUGUGGUCUCUCAUUUCUUUCUCUGUGAGUUUAUUGUUUGUGUACAGGAAUGCUAUUGAUUUUUCAGCAUUGACUUUGUGUCUCGCUACACUGCUAGAUUUGCUUAUUAACUUUAGUAGACUUUUGAUAGAGUUUUUGGGAUCUUCUAUGUAGAGUAUUAUGUUGUCCACCAAUAGUGAUACUUUAACUUCUUCCUUUCCUAUCCUUAUUCCUUUUAUUUCUCUUUCUUGUCUAAUUGCUCUGGCUAAUGUUUCCAGAAAAACAUUGAGUAGGAGUGGUAAUAAUGAAUAUCUUUGUCUUGUUCCUGAUUUUAGGUUGAAAAUUUUUAGUUUUUGUCCAUCUAGUAGAAUGUUGGCUCUUGGUUUAUCAUAUAUGGUUUUCAUCAGAUUGAGGUAAAGAUGAUCUAUUCUUAUUUUCCAUAGGGUUUUUAUUACGAAUGAGUGUUGGAUUUUGUCAAAAGCUUUUUCUGCAUCUAUUGAUGUGAUCAUGUGAUUCUUGUCUUUGGCUCUGUUGAUAUGGUGUAGUAUGUUUAUCAAUUUGCAUAUGUUCAACUGCCCCUGUUUUCCUGGGAUGAAUUCCACUUGAUUGUAGAGUACAAUCUUCCUGAUGAUUUUGCUACAUUUUAUUUUCCAAUACUUUAUUGAGAAUUUUUGCAUCCAUGUUCAUUAAGGACAUUGGCCCAAAUUCUCUUUUUGGUUGGGUCUUUCUCUGGUUUUGGUAUUAGGUAAUACUUGCCUCCUAGUAAUGAGUUAGGGAGACUUGCUUCCCUUUCAUUUUCAUUGAAAUGUUUGAGGAGUGUUGGCAGUAGGUCUUCCCUAAGUUUCUUGUAGAAUUCAGCAGUGAAUUCAUCAGAACUUGGGCUUUUCUUUGUUGGUAAGGUUCUAAUUACAUUUUCAAUUUCAUUAAAGGAAAUUACAUUAUUCAGCAGUUUUACAUUUCCUUGAUCUAUCUUUGGUAAUUCAUAUGUUUCUAGGAAUCUGUCCAUUUCUUUUGUGUUAUCGAAACCAUGAGUGUAAAAGUUUUCAAAGUAGGUAUUAAUGAUCUUCUAUAUUUCCACAGGAUCUGUAGUGAUUUUACUCUUUUCAUUUGAUAUUGCAUGGAUUUGAGUUUUUUAUUUCCUCUUUUUGAUAAGGUUUGGUAAGGGGCUUAUCAAUUUUAUUUUUCCUUUCAAAGAAUAAGCUCUGGAAUACAUUAGUUUUUUAUAUUGUUUUCUUAGUUUCUAACAAUGAUGUUUAAGAGACAUGUGGUUCUUACUUCAGGGCCAUAACACUAAGACCUCUAAUUUGUUCCCCUUAAAUAAGACAUCUCGAUGGACUAAUGUUUAAUUAGCUCAUGACCAACAUAACUAUGAUUUUCAAUUGCACUGAUUUCUGUUCUUCUCUUUAUAAUUUCCUCCUUUCUUUUGGAUUUGGGCUUGACUUACUCUUCUUUUUCUAGAAGUGUGAGGUGCAGCAUUAGGUUGCUUAGUUGUGUUCAUUUGAUUUUCCUGAUGUGGGAAUUUAGGGUUAUAAAUUUCCCUCUGAGAACUGCUUUCAUUGUGUCCCACAGGUUCUGGUAGGUUGUAUUUGCAUUUUUGUUUAACUUUAAAUAUUGUUUAAUUUCCUCUUUAAUUUCUUCUGUAGUACAUUGGUUGUUUAGGAGAGUAUUAUUUAAUUUCCAUGUGUUUAUAGGGUUCUUGUUGUGUUUUUUUGUCAUUUAUUUCCAAUUUUAUUGCACUAUGGUCAGAUAAUAAGCAUUUACUUAAGCGUGUUCUGUGAGCUAGUAUAUGUUCUAUUUUAGAGGAUGAUCCAUGUGCAGCUGAGAAAAAAAAAUGUGUACUCUGAUGUUGUUGGGUAGAACACUCUAUGCACAUCUACUAGGUCCAUUAGUUCAGUAGUUUGAUUCAGUUCUGUUAUUUCUUUAUUGAUUUUUCGUUCAUUGAUCUGUCUCUUUGUGGCAAUGGGGUGUUAAGGUUCCCCAUUAUAACUGUAUUAUUACUUAUUUGACUUUUCAUGUCUAUUAAUAUUUACCUUCUAUAGUUGGGUUCUCCCAUAAUUGGUGUAUAGAAAUUUAUGAUUGUUAUCUCUUCCUCUUGAAGUUUUCCCCUAGCAAGUAUGAGUGACCUUCUUUAUCUCUUUUUGUCAUUAUUGGUUUGAAGCUCACAUUAUCUGCAAACAGAAUAGCUACUUGUGCUUUUUUUCUAGUUUCCUGUGCAUGGAGUAUUGUAUUAUUUUCUAUCCUAUGACUUUUAAUAAUUUUCUUUUGAAGUUAAAUGCAUUUCUUGUAUACAAGCAUACUCUUGGAUUUUGUUUCUUAAUCUACUCUGUCAGUUUCUUUUUACUGGUGAGUUGAGGCCAUUUACAUUGAUGGAUAUAAUUGAUAUGUACUCACUUGUCUUUGUCAUGUUAUCUUUCUGUUGUUGGUUCUCUACUUUUUCUCUCUGUGUAAGUCUUUGCUCUGCUUGGUGGUUUCCUUCUUCGGUUGUUCUUGGAAUUGUAGUCAUCUUUACCUCUUUCUAGAAUAUCUUUCAGUACUCUUUGUAGUGUUUGGUGGCCGUGAAUUUCUUUUUUGUUCUUUUUCAUGGAGAAUCUUAUUUCUCCAUCAAUUUUGAAAGAUAGUUUUGCACCAAUCAGGGAUGGAAGUUGUUUUCUCUUAAGACUUGAAAUAUUUUACUCCAAGCUCUUCUUGACUUGAUGGUUAGUGUUGAGAAGUCUGCUGUGAUUCUGAUAGGUUUUCCUUUGUAGGUCAUCUGUUUCUUUUGUCUGACAGUUUUUAGUAUUCUGUUCUUGUGCUGAAUUUCUAGGAUCUCAAUUAUUAUAGGUCUGGGUGAAGAUUUAUUUUGGUUAUGGCUAGUUGGGGUUCUGUAUGCAUCACUUAUCUAUAUAUCAGAUUCUUUUCCCAUGCUUGAAAAAUUUUCUGCUAUUAGUUCUGUAAAUAGUCUUGUGUCAAUUUGUGUUGACUCCUGGUUUUUCAUGGACACCUGUCAGACUUAUAUUGUUUUACUUUGUAUCAUUUUGUAGCUGUUGAAUUGUUGUUUCUUAGUUCCUUGUUAUUUAUAAGAGACCUUUUCUUAUGUGAUCAUUGGUUUCCAUCCUGUCUUCAAGGUCUGAGAGUCUAUCUUCAGCUUUAUUCAAGCAGUCUUGCCAGCUUUCAAUGGAAUUUUUAAUUUCCUGGAUAUCUCUUUGAAUGUUUCAUGUACUCUAAUUAUUUCUUAUGUUUUUCAUUCAAGUUUUCCAUCAUUUUCUUAUGUUCCUCUAUUUUUUAAAAUCUAUAUCUUUUUUUUAGCUACCUCAACAUGUCUCUCAUGUUUGUCAUUUCUUUUCUUACCUGAGAGAUUUUUUGUGAUCGUAUUUCUUCUAUAGCUUCACAGAGUGGUUUCUUCAGUUGCUAUCAUUUCAGAAAGUUCAGUUGUGCAAUUUUCAAUAUCUUCCACUUCAAUUGUCUCCUGGGUUUGUUCUUCGUGGGCUGAAGGAAUGAGACUGUAUCUUGCUUUUUUGUUUUGUCAUUUUCCUCUUGAACAUGUCUAACUCACCUGGCAUCCUUUUGAUGAAUUUCACUGGGAUGGUGAGCUGAGCAGAGCUUCACUACUCAGAUACCCAUGUGGCUAGCUGGAGUGUUACCCCCGAACUAUGGCACCAUGUGCUGUGAGGGGCCAUGUGCUGUGAGGGACAGAGGUGAAAAUCUCCAGGACUUGUCAGCUAGGCUUGCUGCUCCUUGAUGCAUAGCUCUGGGGCUCUGGCUUGGCAGGGCUUGGGGACCUCUAGGAUCUGUGCAGCUGGCCAGGUUUUCCCCCAAUGAGUUGUCCUGGGAUGCUGCACUGAGUAGAGCUCAGAUCUUCUGGAACCCAUGAAGCUAGCAUGGAUGCAUCCCUAAAGUAUAGCCCCUCAGGGCCUUGCAUCUGGAUGGACUGAAUUCAGAACCUCAGGGACUUAUGUGACUAGCCAGGAAACAUCCCUGGAGUGUCAAGAUUAAAUACUUUUGUAGAGUGAGAGGUGAAGAAAUGUCUUCUGAACUGGCCAAUGAGUAUUUAAUAAGUAAUAUUAAUAACAGCUAUUGUUUGUUGUUCACUAUAGGCCAGAAACUCUACUAAAUGAUAAUGCAUUCAACUUAUAAAUAAAACAUUCACUUAUUUUUGUAUAUGUUAGUUUCUUAUUUGACCUCUGUGAAUUGUAUCAAAGAGUCAGUAUGUAGUGUGUUUGACUGUGGCAGCAAUAAGGAUGUGUUACUUUGGAGACUGGGUUAUAAAAGAUCUCACGGCUUACUCCUUGUUCUGUCUGGGUCCUGGGGAGAAGCCAGCUGUCCUGUAGUAAAGAUAUCUGGGUAGCCUUGUGGGAAGCCCCACCUGGGAAGGAAGCAAAACCUCCAACACCUGUGUAAAUGAGCCAUUUUUCAAGUAGAUCCCUGAGUCCCAGUCAAGUCUUUGGAUGACCACAGCUCAGCCAAAGCUUCACUGAAACUUUAUGAGAGACUCUAAAUUAUAAAGAAUUGUCCUGGGCAAGGCUGAUGUUAUGUCUCCUCAAGGAACAAGGGCAUGUUGGAGGCAGCCCUGGGAAGCUGACCAGGACUAUAUUUUCUUCCAUCACAAGGUGGGAUAUAGACUAAUUUUAUUAAUGAGCUGGCUCCUUUUUACCUCGCCAGUAUCAACUCUACUUCUUUCUUCCAGACAGAUCUUCAUUUGUUCUUCUCAUGACUGAUUCCUUCCUACCUUUUGGGCUUGGUUUACAUGUUGCCACUUCAUGGAGUACAUCUCUGACUGCUCUAAAGCAAUAGGUCCCCUCCCUGUAUCUGUUUUUCUCCUUUUGCACAUAGAACAAUUUGUAAUCAUUUUUGUAUUUCACUUUAUUUUCUGAUUAUAAGAUUUUAUUCUUUGCCAAGUAAGAUACGAGUCAUGACUUUUUUGGAAACAAUGCAUUCUCAGCACCCAGUCCAUUCCUCGGCACAUUCUAAGUGCUUAGUAACUACAGGAUAUUUAUUUUUGUAUUUCUCAAAGAGCUUUGCAUCACUUUUGCCAUUUAAUGAGUGAUCCUUGAGGCUUCGUAUGAUCACUUUUUAAAACUGUAGCUGACUCUUCUCCUCCUUUGUCCCUCUAUCUAACCCCAGCACUCUGCUUUGUAUUUUGAGGCCUAAGUAUUUUCUUCUAGUAUGUUUUGUAAAUUAUGGAAUACUUUGUUUAUUGUCAGCCUCUGUCUACUGGAAUGAAAGUUAUAUGAGGAUAGGCAUUUGUGUGUAUUCUGUUCAUUUUUUAGUUCCUUAUUAUGUGAGUAACUCUUCUGAAUGCUAUAUAGGAAUAUUUGAUCCCAGGAACUAAAUUUUUAAAAAUUAAAGCAACAAAACUAUAGUCAUACCAUAGAUUUCAAAUUCUUCAGGUACAAUGAAUUUUUAUUUAAUUUAAGAAAACAUUUGAAGUUUUACAUUAUAUCACAUUCUUAUCUUGUUUUAUACUUCUUUUGCAAUGGUGUUUUAAGAGCAAAAAUAUAUUAUACAUGGGGAUUUUAUUAAAAAUGACCCACAUGUAAAUAUUUCCAAGUGGUACAUCUUUAUUCUAGAAAGUAAAAAGAUAGGCAUAAAGAAAAAUCCUAUAAAUUAUUCUUAAUUGUUGCUAAUAUUUUGAGGCAUGUUCUCUUAAAUUUUCUUAUGCAUAAUAUUCAUACACUGUAUUUGAAAGCAGAAAUCUGUUUUGAAUGUUAGUAAGAACCAACAUUUAUUUUGUCUUCUAAUAUCUAUCGGGUGCUUUAUAUAUACUUAAGUGCUUUUAGAUAUUUAUUUAUUUGUAUUGAUCUCAUCCUUACAACUUCAUCUUCUAGGUCCUAUUACACAUCCUCAUUUUCAUAUGAGGAAACUGAGGCACUAGAUCUGAUAAUUUGCUUGUAGUCAUAUAGCUUAUGAGUGACAGAACUGGGAUUUUGAACCAAGAUAGCAGAAUCCAUGCUCAGAAUCACUAUUCUUGCUCUCUCCAAAUUUUGCUGUAACUAAUCCCCAUCAUCAGAACGUUUCCGCAGAUGAUGCCUGUAUUUUUUCAACAUCACUUAUAAAGACUGUGUAACAUUUCAGCACAUGGGUGCUCAAAUUCUCCCAGUUUUAAAGAAUUGGUUUUUUUCUACUAUGAAUAAUGCUACACUACACACUUUGAAAAUUAAUCUUCACUCAUCUAUAUGAUGAUUUCUUAGGUCAAACUUCUUUACUGGUGUAUAACAUUCAGCAAAAAUCUGCACCUUAAGGAAUUUACAAGGGACCAUUUUGUUUUAUGCAUCUGGAUAUUAUGGAUUUGUUUCAUGAAUUUCCGCCUGUAUUUCCACUGGUCUUUGUCCAAUGACUGCUUCUGUUAAAAAUCCACUUGGUAACUUGUGCAAGUGAAAAUGUAUUCUUAAACUGAGACAUUUUGAUUGUGGGAAGAGCUAAAAAUGAUCAUGAAAAAUUCAGAAUUAAAUCCCAGCAAAAAUUGAGCAAGUACAGCAAAUGUGUACACUUAACAUUGCAGGCAAAUUGGAGUGUAUUUGAAGCCAAACAGAGAUCUUAUGUAGAUAUGGAGCAAAUUAAUCUAUGUCAACUUAUAUUUUUAAAUACUUGCCUUUUAGAAUAAUUCAAGUUCUCUCUUGCAAGAAUUAAUCUAUCUUCUCUUUGACAUUUAUAAUUGUUGACUUGACAGCAUUUACUUAGAAGUUUUUUGGGUAGUAUAAAGUAUUUAUGUUGGAAAAUUAACAUCAUUAAAUGACAUGCCACCUUUUGGGUGAAAACACUGAAUAUUUUUGCCUCAUAAAAGUGUUAGCCUGACUGUCUUGCUAGAUUCAUGGUCCUGUUCCUGGGGAAAUUCUAUCAAGUAUUUCCUUUGCAAAUAUUAAGAAACACACAGCACAGUUAUACCUGAGGUUUACAAGGUGGUGUGUAUGUGCACGUGUGUGUGAGUGUGUGCUCGUAAAUAUGCUUGUGUGUCUGAACAUGCACUCACACAUACUUGCAGAAUAGAUUGCAGAAAAGGAGCCACAAUGCAAGAUUUGAGUAAUGGCUAGAUGAAUAGAAUACCCAGAAGCCGUUUUUGCCUCAGCAACCACAACUCUCAGUAACAUUGCCGUACAAUUAACUUAAAAUUUAUUCAAUGAGCAUUUAUUGAGGAUAAGAUGUGCUCUAUACUGUUUUAAACACUGAAAUACAAAGAUUAAUGAAAACCUCAAGGAAUUCAUGGCAUUGCGGAAAAAUUAUCCAAGUGAGUAAUUAGAGACCACGAGAUAACGUCACAAAUAAUGAUAAAUGCAAGUAGCAGAAUCAGAAUGGAUCAGAGAGGAAAGGGAGUUAGGGCAAGCAUCACAGAGAAGAGCUCACAUGUGUUAGUCUGGAAGGAUACCCUCAACAAGUGGCUAAGGUGGGAAGAAAUUGUUUGAAAGCACGGAAGUGUGAAAAAGCAUGCACUAUGCACAAGAGUUUUAAGUCAGUGGUAGCGAACCUAUGGCAUUCAUGCCACAGCAGGCUAUUUGUAUCAUUGAAAGCUCUAAAAGAUUCUCUGUCUCUAACUUAAAUCAUAGAAUGAUCCUGGAGUCAGAAGAGCCUGAGUCACUGCACUCUGAUCAUAGGGCUUAUGAAGGGAUCCUGAGAUCAUUAAUCCUAUUAGCCAUGUUUGACUUAAGAUUACGUUCUCUGAGAAAAACUCAGGGAUUACUGAGAAUUUGUGAAGCUCCUUAGUAUUCUAUUGUCGACUGAUUUUUAAAAUGUUAUCUGUGACUUUAUUUUCCACUCUUUGAAGUACAUAUGUUUCCAGAGAGACAUUUAUCAUAGUUUUUUUAUCUGUCACCAAUUGUGUUUGGUCCUAAAAAGUUUCCAUUUCAUAGAAGAAAGGUACUAAAUAUUUGUUGAUUGAAAUGUUACCAGAUAGUUAUAAAGACUAAGUUAAUACUUUGCUUCAGGGAACUUCCAGUUUUGGAGAGAUGAGCCAUAAAUAGGUAAAAGAUUCCCAGUGCAAGAUUUGAAUACUGGUUACAUGCAAAGAGAAUUUACUAAAUUAUUAUAAGCUCUAAAAAUUAAUUCAAGGUUUAUUACUAUGCACUAAUAUUCAAGGUCUUGAGAAGUUAAUAUUAAGGGUCAUUAAAUACUAUCCAAGGUCUUGAAAAUGUAUAGCAACAUGAUAUUUUACUAUUGGUAAAUUGUAGUAUGUAGUUUUAGCAACUAAUUUUUAAAUAGGACAUUGAUAAACUAGAGGCGUAACAGAGAUCUAUAUGAUAUUCUUAUAAGGUCCAUUUCUGUGAGUAGACUUACUAAGUCAAAGGUUUUAAACAAGUUUAAGCCCAUAAGUUUCCAAAAUAUUUGUACCAAUUUGUGCUGUCAUGCACAAUGCAUUAACAUAAAUUUUCACCCAUAACUUUGUCAGAGUUGCAGCAAUGGCAAUAUUUAAGUUUUUCAAAUAUGUCAAUUUAAUCAGGAUGGACUACUGUAAUUUUAAUCUUACUGUAAUUUUAAUCUUUUUGUUUACUAGUAAGGCUGCCUAAUUUUCAUUUAUUUAUUAGGGUUAUUUUGAAGUCAUUUUCCUGUUGGCACCAUAACCCAAAAAGGGGGAAAGAAAAAGUUAUUUUGAAAAUGGGGAAAAUUUAGGAAUAUAGGUGCAAGGCACUGGUGCCGUGUCAGUAUAUUUUGUGGCUAAUGAAAUAAACUUCACUUUAGGAGGCUUAAAUAAAAAUGAAAAUUUAAUAAUUUACCUAAUUUAGAUUUCCUGAGAAAAGAUUUGGCUUCAGGUACAGUUUGGAGCUUAAAUGGUGCUACCAAGACCUGUUCCUGGAUUCUGUCACCUCCAUUUACAAGCCUGUAUUCAAACAAGCUCUCCUCUUGUGGUUGUUAGUAGCUAGAGCAUUGCCCACAUUCUCCAGUUCCAGGUUAAGUUUCAGAUGGAAGUGCUGACUCCUCCUGAUCUCACUGAGUCUGACUGAGUCACUUGAGCAUCCUGCACCAAUCAUGGAGGCUGGAGAAUGUGGAUUUUUAAUUGCCUUCGACAUGGGUCACAUGCUUCACUGCUAAAGCUGCAUUGGAACUGAACUCUUAACUGUGAAGACUGAGAGAAGAGGAUCCACAGGAAAUCAGAAGUACAGUGAAUAGAAUGAAAAUAUCCAUGUUCACCAGAAAAAUCUUUAUUUGAGAAAGACAGGAGCUUUGCAAUGCAUGCAUCCCUGGGGAUACAGAGGUCAAAGGAUGAAAUGACUAUGGCUUUACGUGACCUCAAGCUGCCUCUGAUUCAGCUGUGAUUCCUUUCUCACAUGUCAGCCUAUCAGGGUGUGAGCUUCUCUUUCUCCUUACACUCCCUCUUGCUUACGUCCAUUGCAACUGAGUCUGGUCCUCCACUUCUGGUCAGGAAGGCAUCUCUGGAGACAGAGCCUGGAGACUAUUCUAACCUAUUGUCUGACAGCCCCAACUCUGUCUUUUUUACUCAACUCUUUGAUACUGGGCCUGGGACUUGGCAAACCACGUUUCUCCUUUGCUGUGUGAUUCCCUGUUGGGCUCUGCCAAUACUGGAGGGGAAGCCAGAAGAAGACGUGGCACUAGAUAAGAAAGAAGCACCAUGUUCCUCCCUAUUUACACAACCCAGCAAUACUUCUCCACCUUGGGAGUCAUACUUGCAUUCAGUAGCAGCUGUUGAUUCCAGUCUGUAGUUUUUCUAAGGCUCUCUGAUUCUGCUAUUGGUGUCCUCUGAGGCACUGGCCCUUGCCAACCAGCAUCUCCUGGGAGUCUAAGUCUCAGCCCUGCCAGAGGCUCUAAACUGCAGAUGGACUGACACCUGCCAGAGAGCGUCCCCACCUCAGAGAUCUGGGCUUGCUCUCCGCAGCACCCUUCCUCCCAACUUACAAAUUUUAAUAAUAUCAGUAUCUUCUUUGUUCCCUCAGCCCUCAUUGUGGUAGCUGUUUCCUCCAACUACUACAUUUACCAGACUCCAAUGUCUCUUUUUGGUCUUUUCAGUUUUUCUAGUAUCUGGUUAAUUCUUUGUGUUUAACUAUUUUCACUAAAAUAACUGAUGGUGGCAGAGGCCUGACUGAACUCUGACUGAGGCAGUGGCGGUGCCAGCUUGACUGUCAUUCUGCAGUCCUUUGAGCUAAGCUUGAAGAAGAGCAAUCUGAUGAAAAAUUAAUAUUGACUUUCUGUUUCUCUGAUGCUGAGGUCUGAACCUCCAGGCCCUGCCUGGUUUUUACAGCUGCCUUGCCGGGUAUCACCCUGACUCUUGUGUUAUAGGUGCAUGAAACUUCCUUCAAUUUUUCCAGUGUGCAAUGCUGUGUCACCAUCAGGGCACCGAACAUGACUUUUCUGCGCUAAGAAUAUUGAUUCUGUCUACUCUUUAACCUGAAAAGCUCUCACAUAUUCUUCAGGUGCCAACAGAGAUGUUACUUCCCCUGGAAGCCUGCAGUUCUUUGCCUCUAUUGCAGCAUCCUGUACGUUCCUUCUGGGGGUACACAUUAUGUCCUUGUCUUUCUUAUUCACUGGAUUGCAAACUCCUUGAAAGCAGUACCUGGAACUCAAGAGAUACCUUAAAAAUAUUUGACAAGAACUUCUUUAGAAAAUUUCAAUGCCUUCUUUUUACUAUUAUGAAGCAAGGACACAAUUUCAGCUACCAUUACUGCUGAUACAAGUCACGCCCUAAAUGACUACUGAGAGUUUCAUGUCUCAUCCAAAGGACAAGCUAAUGUUGUAAAAAUUGCUAUCUGAGAUUUGAGGGCAACAAACAAGGUGCUUUUAAGACCUGGGACGUCUCUGAAGCUUCCAUGUGUCACACUAGUGAUGAAGGUGAGCAGAGAUCAGCUAUUGAUUCAUUAGGUUAAAAGCCUUCCCAUCAUCCAGAGCAACUGGAGACCUUGUGUCAAAGAUAUUCAGCAAUAGAAAAUGUCAAGCCCUUGCACAUACGAUUCCAGGAUGCUAAGGCGAGGCCCUGCAUAUUAGAAGGAAUACUUGGAAUGUGUCUGCCUUUACGAGGUUGUGCCAUGUAAUAAAAACAAAAUACCAAAACAACAACAACAAAACUUGCAAAAAAACAAAGACUUGAGAGUCCAGACUUGGUUCAAAUCUUGGCUUGGUUCUAGCUUCAUCAGGUAACAAAAACUUCUGUGAAAUUUUUAGUUUAUUUGGGGAAAUAGAGCUUAUAGCAUCCAUUUUACUUAUUUGUUCAGAACUAAAUAAGAUAAUUGAUUUAACGCAUAUAACAUACAUUGGGAAAUAUUUGUAGUUUGUAGAAAAUGACCUCAUUCAUUCACUCAUGUAUUCAAAAAAUCAUUGAACAUUUCAUAAAUGCUAGUGAUUUAUAAGAGAAUAAGUUAGAAAUGUCCUUCCCCUCAUGGAGUUUUUACUGGUGGGAUACAAUCUGAAAUGGAAAAAAAAUCUGUAAAUAAAAAAAGGACAAUUUUGUCAGUUGAGUUAAUGAUGUGCUUUUACUCCCUUCUUUUCUGACCUAGGAUGUAGUCUAGGGUCACAUGUUGCACUUGGUUGUCACAUCCUGUGUUAGUUAUCUUUACUCAAGAGGCGUUCACUGGCCUUUCACUGACCUUCAUGACACUGAUGUUUGUUGAAGAGUCCAGGACACUUACUUUGUAGACUGGCUUUGUCUGACUGUUUUUUUUUUUUUUUUUUUAAACUGCACAUUUUAAGGGCAUAAAGCCAGCAAACGGCAGAGCUAAGACUUGAGCCCACCUUUCCUGACCCUUUAUGUUGUGCACUUUCCUUUUAAAAGCUUCUAAGAGAGCUUGAGGUCAGGAGACCUCAUAGCUCCAUUCCCCAAACAGUCUGUUAACACAGCUGGGUUGUUAAAUAAUAGCAGUAUUGACGUAGUAGCAACCAGAGAGAACACCUCUACCUAGGUGAACCUGGCUAUUUUCUUGGUUGUCUUUAAUAUCUCUGAAUCUGAAUGACAAUUUUUUAAAAAAAUCUGUACUUAUUUUAUUACUUUUCUGUCAUCAUCUCUCAAGGUGACAAUUUGUCCUACUUUAAUAGAGCAGCUGGAAAAAACAUUAGGAAAAUUAGACCCAGUAUAGGUAGAAUGCCAUAAGAUCAUUUCAGUGCUAUUAUGAUGUACUUUUCAGAACUGCAGGACACUGAACAAAAAUGCACUAAAAUUUAAAAAAAAAUCCCUUUUUAUUUGGAAAAUUCUUUUUAAAAGCUGAACAAUUGCAGCAGCUAAUCUAUAAUUUACUCAAAUGUUGGGUACUUUAUUAUAUUGAUAUGCUAUGAGUUAGCUCACUAAAUUUUCUCCAAGAAAUUGGGAGACAAAAGAGGCAAGUAAUUGGUGCUCUGAGUCCAUGUUCUGCCUUCCAUUUCAUGAAUUGCAUCACACAUACAUUUUAAAAUCUGCCCAGAUGUUUUUUUUUUUAAGUCUCCAAAGCAGCCCAAGAUGAACUUUUACAGCUUUUGGACUUCUAGCAGAGCAUUUUGCUGCUGUUCCAAAAAUACGGUUAGAGGCUCUCUUUGGCUGGGGCUGGAAAAGACCCUUUCCCACCAAGUUCUUGUUGCUAUAGGGUAUGAUGGUGCUGAGAAUGAAGGGAUAUUUCAAAUAUGUGUCUCAUUGAUGAGAAGUGAAGUGAUACAAGUGGUUGUACUGUUUAUUCAUAUUGUGAAUGACUUGUUAUUCAUUGACCGUCCACUUUUAGCCAGGACUGCGCCAAGAGGAUGAUUUAAAAAUGAGUAACUCAAACACUGUCUCUCCCCUCAGAGACUUCGGUCUUGUGUUGUGGGCUGUGGGUUAGGCAAUUACACAGGCUCAGCAUGGGACACUAUAUGAGGUCACUUUACCUACCUGCCAUCAUUCCUCCCUCUGCUGCUAUCCAACUGCCUCCUCUCACAGGGAGUUUCUCUAUAGUCUUAGUCUUUGCCCGAGUUCAGGCACAAGGAGGGAGCAGAAGUCAGGCUUUCUGAAGAUUGCUUUGCCUUGGGGGAUCUCAUUCUGUCUAAAGGCUGGGAUAUCCCUGAGUAGAGGCAGUGCUAAUACCACUUGGUAAUAAUAAUCACAGCCGUAAUGUUCACCAUCUUGCCUCACUUCCUUAUGCUGUUCUGCUGCAUUUUCUUCAGUUGGUCAACUUCCAUGCUACACUGGUUGAUAUGGAAUAAAUUGUGUCCCCCUUCUAAUCCUAAUUCAUGUAUUGAAACUCUAACCCCAGUACUUUGGAAUGUGGCUUUAUUUGAAGAUAGGCCUUUUAAAGAGGUGACUGUUAGAAUGAGGCCAUUAGGAUGGGUUCUAAUCCUCGGUGAUGGGUGUCCUCCUCGGAGAGGAAAUGCAGCCAUGUAUUCUAUGCAGGUGCACAGAGGACAUCCAGGGAGCAUGUGGGGAGAAAGUUCCUGUCUGUAAGCACAGGAGAGAGUCCUCAUAAGACAUAAAACCUGCUGACACCUUGACCUUGGACUUCCAACUUCCAGAACUGAGAGAAAAUAAAUUUCUAUUGCUUAUAGUUCACAGCACUUGUUACAGUAUUCAUAGCAAACUGAUGCCCUGGUUGUAAUAUAGUUUGGACUAUGCUUGGUAAUAAUACUUUUAUUAAGUUCAUGCUAAAUUUUAGAGCUAACAUGAUGACUUCAUUGCAUUGUUAGAUACUUUCUGAGUAGUCUUAUUCUCAUUUUGAAAAUUAGAUAACUGAAAUUUGGAGAAGAAUGUGAUUUACCUAAAUUUACAGAGCUACAAAUGGGCUGAACUGGGUUCAAACCCAAAUCUUUCUUACAAUGGUGCCUCAUUUCUUAACCACAAUGCAAUAUUUCCUGGAAAUGCUGGUUUUCUCUGCUUCCUUUUCCUACUGUAAAUGAUGCUCCUUCUUCCUCUAUGGACUUCUGCUUCUUUUCUUUGGAGCACUAGCUACAAUUUAUGAUUAUAAAUUAAAUUCUAUGAUCAUGCAUUUCUGUGUUUGCCUUUCUCAGUAGUUCUCAAUGUAGUGCUGUGCUUAUGGGGUUGAUUUUGGAACAAGCAGUGUUGCAAGCCUUAUUAAUUUUUCUACUAGGUAAGAACUAGCCAACCCUUUGUGUAUAGAGAAAUAAUCCACCUCACUGGGCAUUGGCAAGCAGUAGCAAUUAGUACUGGCCUUUUUAAUUUAUACCUUAAUAUUGUGCACACGUGUCCUCAGGCAUGAAGCGCGUCCCUGGACCUUACCACAUGGCAGCACUGGUAUUUGUUCUCCUGUUGAUUCCUGUCAUGAAAAGCCCUCUUGACUAGGAGGUUCUAGGACUCAUUUUUCCAUUUUUAAAAUGCAUUUCAAGACAGGAAGCUGUGAGCUACAUGGUGCUUUCAUGGAGGAUUUCCCACCUUCUUUUAUCUUGAUUCUCCAUCCUGUUAACAUCUGGGUGGAGUGGUAGUGCUUAUUUUGUACUUGAUGAAGUCUAAAAAAUAAUCAAUCCAGAUGUGUUACAUCGGACUGUGGCUCCUCAAUGAACAAGAUCCCAGAAGAUACUUGUUGUAAAGGUAACACUGUGUUAAUCACCUACUAUAGCCAGUAUAAUAUUGUGAUGAUAAUGGUUAUUAUUUCUCCAAUAAUGUUCUCCCACCAGAGAUGGAAACCUAGUUAACAUUUACCCUCAACCAAAACUGUUGGAAAAACUUUAUCUGCCUCCCAAGGGCUGAAUUUCAUAAAGACAGAUGAUCUUUUUUUCUCUAUGUAGGCUUUUAUUUUUAGAUUUGCUGCUUCCUCCCCCACUUUCCUUCCUAUUUAAUGGUUUUAGAAAAAAUGAAUAGUAUUCUACAUUUUUAUAUUCUAAACAUCACUCCUGCAUAAUUCUACUCAGCUCUUUGUUGUUCUUUUUUCCAAGUUAUGGUUUUAAAAAUAAUCUAGAACUAAUUUGUCUAAUGAAUAUGCAAUUAUGGCAAGAGUCUUUUUGAAGUUUUUGAAAACCUUCCGUCAGCAUGUUUCUGGGACAUGGAAAUGAAUGUAGCAUCAGGCACUUGGAAGCUGUUUCUAGUCUGGCAUGAGCAGGUAUCAUUUCUCCACAUUUGAAAGCUGGGCAUGAUGCAGACAUUUUCUGUGUACUUACUGUGGUUAGCUUAGUGUGGUUGCUUUCUAGCUUAGCUCCUUCUGUUAGUGCAUCAUUCCUAUUGGAAUGCAGGGGCUGAAAUAAGGUUGGACAGCCAUAGCAGAAUAUAUAGGAGAGGUGCAGGCACAGUUUAGUUCUGUCUCAGCUCAUGCCCAAAGCUUACAAAUCAUAGAUACUACUUAGAGUGGGCCUAUGUCACGCGCGGCACUUUACAUGUAUCUUAAUCUUUAUGUAAGCAUAAACCAGAGAGCAAGGAAAUAUAUCCACUAUUUUCUAAUUAAGGAAAAUGAGACGUGAAGAGGGUAAGAAAUUUCUUAAGAUCACUUAGGUAGUAAGUAGCAGAGCCAAUGUUCUUAUCCACUUAUCACUGGGCUCACUUUCUGUGCAAGGCUUCAUGCUAUGCAGUUUGUCAAGUCUAGAAAUGAACUUGACCUGGAUUCUACUUGCAGAGUGUUUACUUUCUAGUAAAAGAGAAGAGACAAGCAGCCAUGAUAUGUAGCCAAGAAAAUUCAGAAAAAAGACAAGAGAGAGGGCCAUGCUAUGAAUGUGGAAGUGAAGGAAAAGGAGAAAAAAAUUCAUCACUGUAGAGAUAAAAUUUAGCCUUACAGGAGGACCAGUUUCCCAAAGUUUUUGCAUAUGCAUGCUUGCUUCCUGCCUACUGUGCAGUUUAUGGUUUUGAAAGUGGCCCCUGGACAGAAUUUUUCAAUAAUUGUUUUUGACCUGGGGAAGCAGCUUCCCCCUGUGCAUUUUUUCCUCCAGCACCUGAGUGAAGAAGCCAGCUGGGCUUUCUCCAUUGCCAAAGCAGGCAAAAGCAUCCCAACCCCAACUGAGGGAUUCAUUAGCGGCUGCUGUCAAGUUGCUGUGAUCACAGGCUGUGACAGGCACAGUGCCUUUGCAGCCCUCACUGGGCACAGGUCAUUGUUGUUCUCCAUUAAACAGCACAGGGCUUGUUGCUGAGUGCCAGAACGUGACACCUUGUGAACUGUGGCCUUUCUAGGUGAUUGUUUUUCUUUGUUCUGGCAAUUGGAACAAAGUGAUUUCACCCAUUCGCAGUCUUUAUUUUUCCCUUUGUGGCCAGCAUUUAUGUCAAUGUCUUUUUUUUUUUUUUGGUUGCUGAUUCCAGAAGCAUUGCAACUAACGUAAGUACUUUAAGGAGAAUUUGACAGAAGAAUCUCAGUGACUAAACCCAAGAAACAGAAAAGUCAUCAGGAGUCAAUGCAGUUACUUUCUUGGUAGUUAUUUCUGAUGGAUUUCAUGUACUUAUAUUUCUGGUUGUUUCUGCACAUCUGUUUAUUCUCUAUCAAACUGUUUGGGAAGUUAUUUCUUUGCAUAUGUUCAUGCCACAGUACAGUUUGCCGUAUCUCUAACUAUUGUCCUACUUUGAACUACCAGAAGUUUAUCGAGGCUCUAAUGUUUCAGCUGAGUGUACGGAGCCACCUACUCAGGCCUGGUCCAAUCAGCACAGCCUAAUGUAGGGGUGGUGCAGGUUAACCUGGACUGCAGGCUCUCUUGUCAGCUGGAGCCUCUGAGGGGGACACAUUUCACAGAGAAACAAGUAGUGAGCAGGUAUUCACACAGGUAAUCAUAUAUUUAUGAAUCAGGAAUAUGACAUGAUUUCAACUUUUCUCAGGGGUCAAUGCAGCAUGCUAAGUAACCAUAAGAGGAUAUUAUCUUUGGAUGUUUGUUUCUUUCUUCUUGGAACAAAUGGGAUUCACUGGGCUAUGAAAAGAAAGAAGUUCAUGAAAAUAUUUAUAGAAUUCAAGCUAAACCUUCUGGUGAAGGAAGAGAGGCUUGAGUUGUUUUCAACUAAUGGGAUCAGCUGAUGUUACUUAAAUACACAAGAUAGUAGUUUGAGCAUUUCAUCAAAACAGCAGUAAGACUUGAAUGGUUCUCACUGUCAUUUGGGAUAUAGAAUUAUCUCCAUGUCACAUGCCUCUUCUGCAGUGAUACAGAACUUCAAAACAAUAUCAAAUCAACAAUAGUUACCAUCAUGCCUCUUGUUGUCUUCAAAAUCGGUAGAUACCUUCAGACAUAGUAAAAAUCAAACAGAACAGAACAGAACCAAUAAGAACAAAACAAUGAAUGCAAUAAAGGACUUCAAAAUAAGACAGUAGUAAAUCCAAAAUGGCUACCGUAAUAUAUCUUGUAUCUUUGAAAUAGCUUACAUGCUAUUGGAUAUAACAAAAUCAAACAAAACAAAACAGAAUAAAACCCAACCCAACAAAACAAUGAAAAUGAUACAGGACUUCCAAACAAGAUAAUAGGAAAUUAAUAAUGGCUGCCACCUUUGGAAGGAGAUCCCCUAUAGAUGCCAUACUGCAUACCAUUAUCUUCUGAAUAGAAGAUCAGACCACCGACCCGAGACCUGCAAAGUCAGUAAAACAUCAAACACCACAUACAUCAAAUUUCAUUUCACCUUAAUAGCUAUCACUGAAACCUGUGUUUCUCAGGAUUACAGAGUAGGUGGGCUGGAAUGGUUGGCCCUUCUUGUUUUCCAGCCAGCAUGCUGGAAGGGGCUGGAGUCUGCCUGUUCCCUGGCAGCAGCAGCCCGCAUCUGGUCCUGGUUCACAGAGAGGGCUUGCUUCCUGGAGACUUCUUGUUCUCUUUCCCUGCAGUCUGCAAAUGGGGCUGACUCAUGGAAAAGGCUGAGGUCUGGCUGUCCCCUCUGGCAGCAGCGGCCCAUGUGUGGUGCUGGUUUGCAUGAUCAUUUUAUUUCUUUGGUAAGGUUUCCCAUAAUCUGCAUUUUGCUGAUUUUAUUCAUGUGGUAUCAUUAGAAGUAUUUUUAUAUUAUCUAUAUUUUCCACUAAUUGAUAACCAGAUUUAAAGUUUCAAUGAGUAAGAAUUUUGAUUUUUAUUCUAACAAUUCAUAAAUGGUGACAUUUAUUUUUAUCAGAAGUCACAUAAUACCCGGCUGUGCAUUUUUGUAAUGACUUUAACCACUGAUUGUUACCUAGAGACAUUACUAUUCAAUUAGGGAUAGAAAAGAUGGUGAUGUUCUAAUUUUAUCAAUUCUUUUUCACUAUUUAGAGUAUUUCUAUAAUAAAUAGCACUGCUCAGAAAAAAGCAUGUCAAAUGCUUGAUUCUUUCUAUUUUUUUUAGCAUCCUCCAAAAAUGACCCAUAAUUAUUUGGUUGUUUGUGUCUUUAACAGCUUUAUCACCAGGUGCUUAAAUGUGUGUGUUGUCUUUCAUUCUAUUGCAGUUACUACUUUUAGUCAUGCUUCCUUGUGAUUCUGUCACUCACUGUGUGAAUGUGGCAAGUUGAUUCAUACAUAAGAGUUCAACAAACACUUUCUGUAAAAGAUCAAAUAAUUUUUUCACAUUUUAAAAUAAUCCUUUAGAAAUGUAGUGGAUGGACCUUAAGACUAUAAUGUUAACUGAAAUUAGCUACACAUAGAAAAUAAAUAUCACAUGGCUUCUCUUAUAUGAAAAACCCAAAAUAUAAAUGCAUUCAUACAUAUACAGAGUCUGCCAAAAAAUGUACACACUCUUCAGCAGUUUGCUAGACUAAUAAAUAUUUGGAACCCAAUGGCCUCCACUUUAAGCACCUUUUGCAAUUUUAGAAGCCAAAGAUAACUAGUAACCGUAUGUCUCAAUAAAUUUAGUAUUAAAAUAUUUCUACAGGUUUCUCUUUUCCUUUUGUGUACAUCUUUAACUCUCUCUCUCCCUCUCCUUCUCCAUAUUUAUAUAUAUAUAGGUUGGGGAAUAAGACCAGAUUGUGGUAGGUAAAAAAAAGGAUUUUGUUUAUCUUUUAGUAGCUUCUUUAACAACAGAGAACUCUACCAAAGGUACUUUUGACACUUGAGUAUUUAUAAGUGGAAAGUCAAUGACCACUGUGGCAAUCAGUAGCAAAUACUCUUUAGAGUGCGUGAAGGGAGGUGAUGUCUUGGGAAAUGAGAUGAUAGAAAUAUAAUUCUCUUAGAACUUGGGACACCUGGAGAAUGGGGUGCAUUUUCUUUCCUAUACUCUGUGCUCCUAGAGGAAAGUGUAGGCUCUUCAUCAUAUACUAUGCUGCUAAUUUUGUUUGCUUAUCAUAUACUUAACAUAUAUUAUCACAUGUAUCAUAUAUCAUAUGUGUUUGCUUAUCAUAUACUAUCAUAUACUGUAUUUCUAUGAGCUUUUAAUCAUAUACUGCACUGUACUGUUUUGUUUACUUAUUUAUUAUAUAUAGCAAAUUUUAAGAACUUGAGAAAACAAUAGUUGCUUCUUAGAUCCAGCCCAUGGUAUGAACCAUACAACUCACAACCAUGGUAAUCUUGGAGAACAGUACAAAUCCUUGAAGAAAAGUUGAAAGUCAGGAGGUCUGAGUCAAGGUAUAAGUCUGCUUAGGCAGAGUUGGAACAAUGAAAAACUGAUUAUCAGUGGUGAAGCCUGUAAGAGAACAGAGUGGGCUAUUGGUUUCUGUGAUUUGUUUUAAUUCAGUCAAUAUUUCCUGAGCACCUACCACAUGCAAAGCAGUGUGUUAACAACCAAAAAUGCAAACUAAACACAGAAUCAAUCUUGUCUUUAUGAACUUUCAGGAUGAUGAGCAAAAUGCAGCUUAAUCAACUACAUAUUCAAAUAAAUGGAGACAGAACUAUACUUAGUGUUGUGUUAGGUGUGUGUCUGACAGUAUCGUGGGUCAGGGAAGCCUUCUCUGAGAAAGCGAUGGUGUUAUGGUUUGGGUCUGGAUGUCCUCCCAAAGCUUCAUGCAGUUAUGGAGGUGGGCUUCAAGAGUUUGUGAAUGAUUUAUGGUCUAAUGCUGGGAUUAUGGGUGUGGGUGUUACACCUAGGUGAGUGUGGCCUAUAUACAAUAUAAGAGACAGAAAGAGCUUUCUCUCCAUGCUCCUCCUCUUGUGGUCUUGUUGCUUGUUUUGUUUUCUGCUGCCAUGAACUCUGGUUCACUGUCAUGUUCCACUCUCCCUUGGAGCCAGAUGAUUAUGGACUAAAACCUCCACAAACUGAGCUAAAUAAACUCUCCCUUUUAACUUUGGGUGUCAGAUAUUUUGUCCCAGAAAUAAGAGAAAAGUAGCAAAAACAGGUGGUGUAGCUGAGAUCUGAAGAAUGAAUUAUUUUGGUAAAGAGGUAGGGAAGAGAAUUCUGAAGAGAAAAUAGCUUGAGAAGAGCAGGUUAGGAACAGUCAGUAUGCCUAGAGAGGAGCAGAGGAACUUGCUGCAGAGAUAGGCAGGGAUAGCUGAUACAUAGUCUUGGGCUGUGUUCAGGGUUAUAAUCUUUAUCCCCAUAACUGUGAAUGCUAUGAUGAUGGUUAAAUUCCAAACAGAUAAACUGUGCUGUGAUGAGAAGCAGGCCAGGGAUAGGACAACAGGAGCCAGUAUUUCUGUUUGGAGGUUACUGUAUUUGGAUCUAUGCCUCACAACAAUGACUAACCCUUAUGAUGUCCACUUCACGAGAGUUUUGUAGUCUAUCUGGGCUGGCAGCAUCAAGAUAAAGGCACCUUGUUGACCUACACACAAGGAUAUAGAUCUAUAAUACAGUAGAAUAUACCAUAAGUGUACAAUUAAGAGUGCUUGUUUUGGAUACAAAUGUGGUUGCCUUUUAAUGACAUCCUGAUUGUAGUGGUCAUCGCUCAUUUAUAACCAAUAUCCAAGCUGUCUAGUGUUCUCCCAUUCAAUAUGGUUUCCUAGCAAAUAAUCUUCAACUACUAGUUUUAGUGUCAUUCUACCUCUCGGUGACACAAUUAGUUUAAAGGUAACUCUGUAACUUUUCCAAGUAAUUGGUCUGGAAAUGAAUGCCUGAUAUAUUUCUGGCCAAUGAGGAAUGAAGGGAAGCUGGGGAGCAUGAAGAGGUGCUUCUGAGGAAAAUUUCUCUUUCAUAAGAGUAAUCCACAGGAGGUGAUUGUAGAUUUGAAAACAGCAACUGCCAGAAUCUUUGGAUGGUAAGAGGCAGGGAGAACUUUGGACCUGACCCGAACAGCACUAUUAAGCUAUUAGUCAACAAAAUCAAUCAUUUUCAGGGCUCACUGUGCUUCUGACUUCCUGUUACAGGAAAUAAUAACAUUCUUGAUUUGAACUUACAUUUUUCUGUUCACAGAUAACCAGUGAUCCAGCUGUGUGUACUGAUUGCUGUCUGAGCUACUUUAUCUACAAUAUGGGGUGAUAGUUAUAUGUGUUGCAUUGAAAUGUAAAUGCGAGGAGUAUACUAUGUAGUGCAUUUUAUGUGUUCAUUUCCUAACAGUUUUUCAAUAAAUGGUUACUAUGGAGGUUAAUAUUAAUCAUUUCUCACAUGAGUCAGUGAGGAUGGGCUCUGAUUAAAUAUGGCCUCAUGUCUGAUUUGAAUACUUGUCAACUAUUUGGAAACACAAAAAUAAAUAGCUAUACUUUUUCAUCUGCCUAAAUUUAUCUUGUUGCUGAGGUUUUGUUGGAACAUACAAAUAGGCUUGAGAUUGUCUGGAUAUCAUUUUUUAAAGCCACUUUGAUGAUCUAUUUCAAUGCAACCAAUUAAAUUUGUUGUGGAGAUGAUUUAAUUUGAUCAUUAGCUUGUCAGAAGGCACCAGCUGGAUAAUUACAAGAGCCAGACUUUCUCCUUUGGCUGUGGUCUCUGUCUUUUGUUGAAGAAUUUAACACAUAAGACAAGCACUGUGUAAGGAUCAUUUUGGCAGUACUUACUCUGUCACAAAGGACCACUGAAUCAAUUCUGAUAUUUCUUGAAUGUGCAGAUCAAUAGCUCAGUUCUUCUUUUCCAAAAUCCUAAUAUGACUUUUGGACCACUGUCAACAAUUCACAAACUAAGUUUCCACUCUUCAAAUGAAUUAUAUUACUCAAAGCCAAAACCAGCUUUUGAGCAUCAUGUCUAUUUAAUACUUUUUUGUUUGUUUGUUUUUGGUCUUUACAUGCAUUCACUCGGUCAUUUCUAGACAUGCACUUUCUUUUAACAUUCUCCUAAAGCCAAAUCCACUCCAUGGCACUGGCUAGAUACUAAACCCAUGUAUAAUUAGCAUACUUGGCAUCAGUAGGGAUAAAGCUAACAUAUGAGUACCAGUUGUGGUGCUAGGGAUUUUAUGUGAUAUUGUUAUCUUCACAAAACAGAUGCAGUCCCAGAAGCAGAGACACGGAAUAAUUUGCUGAAGUCUCUAGUUGGUAAGUAGCAGAGAUGGAGUUUGAACCCAGUCUUAUCUCACUUCCAAGCCCCUUUGCUGAAGAAAGUGUGACAUAGUAAGACGCAGAUUCUACAUGGCCAGAGCUUGACUAUAUUUGUGCCCAACAGCUGGCUCUCCAUUUACCAAUGGCAUAGUACUAGGCAAGUUAUGUUGUUACAAUCACCUAAUACACAUGAUAAAUGUAUUUUUAAAUUAAGUGUGUUUAUUGGUACAUUGUGCGUGCGUGUGUGUGUGUGUGUGUGUAUAUAUAUAUAUAUAUAUAUAUAUAUAUAUAUAUAUCACACUCCUUAUAGGGAGUUUGUACCUGUGCAUGCUAUACCUUGAUUCUUCUUUUUUCCAAUUCCCUCCUCCUCCCUUUAAUAGCUCUUCCCCUCCUUAUUAACAAAGUUUGUUUCAAUUUUUCCUUAUUUUUUCAGUUUUUCCUUUUUCCUUCAUUUAUCUCUUUCCCCUUCCCAGUUCCCUUCCCAUCUGAACAUUUUCUUCCUAUUUCACAGUAUCUAUUAUACAUAUUGAUCCUUGUUUACACUUUUAGGUGUCUUACACCAGCGAAAUGAUGUGAUAUAUACAUAUGUGACUAAUUUAUUUUACUUAAGAAUAUGAACUUGAGGUGCAAACAUUUAGCUAUAAAUGUCUUAAGCUUUUUCUUCUUAAUGGUAGAAUACUACAGUGUAUAAAAACUCCAGAUUUUAUUUAUCCAUUCAUCAGGUGAUGGGUGUUUGGGCUAUUUCCAAGACUUAACUGUUAUAAACUGUGCUGCUAUAAACAUGUGUGCAAGUAUAUCUCUCUAAUAGGGUGUUUUUUCAUUCUUUUGGGGAGAUACUGACAAGAAGAAUAUCUUGGUCAAAUGGUACUUGCAAUUUUCAUUUUCAACAGUGGAGAAGGGUACCUUUUUUUGCACAUUGCCGCCAGCAUUUGUUAUCAGUUUCUUGAUGGUUGGCAUUCUUUCUGGAAUGACAUGGAAUCUCAGCAUUGUUUUAACCUGCAUUACUCAAAAGCCAGACACUGAACAUUUUUUCCAUAUAUUUAUUUGCCAUUUGUACUUCCUCACCUGAGAAGUGACUAUUCAUGGCAGAUGCCCAUUUUUUGAGUGGGUUUUUAAACUUGGGGGAGGGGGUAUGAUUUAUUGAGUUCUUCAAAUAGUCUAGAUUUUAGUCCAUUGUCUGGGGUACAACUGGGAAAAAAAUUUCCCAUCCUGCAGGUAGUCUCUUCACUCUGCUGGUGAUUUCUUUUGAUAUAUACGAGCUUUUUAAUAAGAUGAGAUCCCAGUUGUUAAUUCUUUGUAAUAUUUCCUGUGCUAUUGGAGUUUUAUUCACGAAGUCUUUGCCUACACCAAUGUUUUCAAGAGUUCUACUUAUUCUCUUUCCUAGCAGACUUAGUGUUUCUGUUUAAAUAUUUAGAUUUUUGAUCCAUUCUGAUUUUAGUUUACUGUAUGAUGAGAGACACGAGUCUAGUUUUGGUCUUUGGCAUGUAGAAAGUCAGUCAUUCUAGCACCAUUCUAUUAAACGGGCUAUAAUUCUUUUAGGAAACAUGUUUGGCCUCUUUGUCAAAUACCAGGUGACUGAAAACCAUAUCAAAAAUAAAAUAAAAAGGAAAGAAAAGGCUCAAAUUCAUGCUACAAAGAAUGAAAAGGGUGAAAUCACUAUAGAUUCUGUAGAUAUUCAGAAGGAAGGUCAACUAGGAAGGAACAACCUGCUUCAAAGAUCUUUACUCUCAUAAGCUGGAAAACACAGAAGAAAUGGACAGAUUCAUAGAGGCAUAUGCAUUACCAAAGUUGAAUCAAGAAGAUAAAAAAAUUCUGAAAACCCCAAAAUGGUUAAUGAAAUUUAAAAUAUAAUUAAAAUCUUGUUAACAAAUAAAAGCUCCAGUCCUGAGGGGUUCACUGCUGAAUUCUACAAGAAAUUUAUAGGAGAUUUAAUGCCAAUACUCCUCAAACUCUUCAGUGAAAUUGAGAGACAGGCAAUAUUCCCUAACUUUCCUGGAGGCAAGUAUGUCCAUUAUCACCAUUUCUAUUUAAUAUGGUUCUGGAAAUACAAGCUAGAGCAAUUAGACAAGAGAGAGAAAAUAAAAGAAAAAAGGAUAGGAAAGGAAGAAGUUAAAUUAUGUCUAUUUGCAGAUGGCAUGAUACACUACAUGCAAGGCUCAAAAAACACCACCAAAAGGCUCCCCGAUUUAACAACCAAAUUUAGUAGCAUAACUGGAUACAAAGGCAACAGUUAAAACUCAAUAGCACUCCUGUACAAAAACAACAAACUCACUGAUAAGAGAGAGAAAGAGACAGACAGAGAGAGAGAGAGAGAGAGAGAGAGAGAGAGAUAUUAGAGAACACAUUUCACAAUAGUAUUAAAAGCAUGAAAUAUUUAAGAAUCAAUCUAACAAAGGAAGCAAAAGGUCUAUGUAUUACAAAUUACAAUACUCUGAAAAGGGAGAUCAAAGAGGAUAUCAGAAAAUGGGAAAAUAUCCAUCUCUUGCUUAUAGAUAUAAAGAACAAGCAUAGUAAAAAUGGUCGUAUUCCUAAAAUUGUUAUACAGAUUUAAUGCAAUCCUGGUCAAAAUAUUCUUAGUAUACCUCCUAGAACUAGAGAAAACAUUCCUAAAAUUCAUUUGGAACUAGAGAAAAUUUAGAAUAGUAAAAACAAUUUUGUACAGCAAAUGCAAAGCAAGAAUCAUCACAAUCUCUUUUCUGGAACUAUGUACAAAGCUACUGUGGGUAAAAUCAGCAGGAUACUGGCAAAAACAAAACAAAAUAAAACAACAACAAAACACCCUCCCCCACACACAACAGCAACAACAACAAAGAAACCAAACCUGAAAAUCAGUGGAUUACAUUAGAAGAAGUGGACAAAGCUACAGACACACUCAGCCACCUUAUCUUUGACAAAGGGCCAAAUGUUCACUGGAAAAAACAUUGCCUCUUUAAUAAAUGGUGUUGGAAAAACUGGAUCUCUACAUGCCAAAGACCAAAACUAGAGCCAUGUUUAUCACCAUGCACUAAACUAAAGCCAAAAUGGAUCAAAGAUCUAAAUAUUGAGAAAGAAACACUAAAUCUGCUGGAAGACACAGUAGGUAGAAAUUUUGAAGAAACAGGGGUAAGCAGAUAGUUCAUGAAUAAAAUGCAAACUGCAUGGAAAAUACUUCCCAGAAUCAACAACUGGGAUCUCAUCUUAUUAAAAAGUUUUUGCAUGUCAAAAGAAAUUUCCAACAGAGUGAAAAGAAAACUUACGAAUUGGGAAAAUGUCUUAUCCAACUGUUCCUCAGACAAAGGGCUUCCAUUUAAAACUUAAUUUUUUUUUUAAAUCAAGCCCUUAAAAUUCAAGGACCCAAUCUAAAAAUGGGAAUCUGAGAUAAAUACACCUUCUUCAGAUGAAAAAAUAUAAAUGGCAAAUAAAUAUAGGAAAAAAUGUUCAGCAUCACUGAUCGUUUGAGAGAUUGAAAAUCACAACAACAGUGAGCUUUCAUCUCACUCUAGAAAGAAUGGCUAUCAUCAAGAAAUCAGCAAACAACAAAUGCUUGCGAGGCUGUGGGGAAAAAGGAACCCUUCUCCACUGUUGGUGGGAGUGUAGAGUGGUACAACCACUGUGAAUUAGUAUGGAGAUUCCUCAAAAAAUAGAAUUGGAGGUUCCAUUUGAUCCAGCUAUUCCUUUUUCUGGGUAUUUUCCCAGAAGAAUUAAAAACUUCAUACCACAAAACACAUGUGUGCACCCAUUUUUCUAGCAGCACAACUUGUAAUAAAUAUUGGAACAACUCUAGUACCAAUCAAAUGAGGAAUAGAUAAGAGAGUUGUGUUAUUUUUAUGCAAUGGAGUACUACUCAGUUUUAAGAAAGGUAAACUUGAGACUUUUAUAGAUAAAUGGGUGUAACAUGAGACCGUACUCAUAAAUGAAAUAAGUCAGAGUGACAUAUGUGUAAGAAGCUGAAAUAUUAAAUAAAACAAAAUGUACACUAAAUAUUGUGAAAUGGUAAGCAAGUCUUCAGAGGGAAAGACAAUCUGGGAUGAAGGAAAGAAGGAAAAAAAGAAAGGAGAAGAAAAAAUAUGUAUACACACAAGGCAGUUAAGAUAUUUAUACUAGUGAUUUGUACUAGGUCAUUGAAAAAGGAGGUUUUUGCUAUAUUGUUUGAUCAAAUUUUUGUGCCUCUAUUUUGUAACCUGAGAAACUACUUUAAUAUGUAACACGUUAACCAUUGUUACUCCUAUUGCCUCAUUUUGAAUUUUAUUUUAUUUUUCUCUUUAGGUAAAAGAUCAGAUGACUGAGGGUGUUAGGAGUAAAUUAUACUUCAAAGUUACUGUGAGAAAAAUAACAUGAACCCAACAAGAAAACAGAUUCUAGAAUCAAUGAAAGAGGUUAGAAGGCGCAGAAACAACUCCAAAAAAAAUGUACCAUUUAAAAGCAAAACAGAAAUAUGUGCUUUUUGACAUUAUAUAAAUAUGCCUUUAUUGCACGGGUUCCACUUUGGAGUCAGUGUUAUUAGUAUUUUAAAGUGGAAGUACGAAUACUUUUGAACAAGCUGUUUAUUCUUUUUUUUUUUUUUUUUUUUUUUGGACUUUUCCCUUUUUAUCGGAAUCGGGGAUCGAACUCACGACUGCCUACUUGCAAGGCAAACGCUUAUGCCGCUGAGCUAAAUCCCUAGCCCCCAAGCUGUUUAUUCUUGACAAUAGAGCUAAACUCUUUUGGGUUGCAAUUUGAAUGCAGUUUUUUAAAUAUAUAAAACCAGUAUGUUUCCUAUUACACUCAGCACAGAAAGUGGAAUUUGAGAGUUAAAAACUAAAACUCCAUGGAAAGUAUCAACUUAAUGGUUAACAUUUACACACAUUUCUUAGACUUCUCAGGAAUUAACUAUGAGUGAUUAUGGUUUUUCCUUGCAUAUUGAGGUUUAAAAAUCAGAUGUAAUUUUAAAUAAAAUCCCCGGAAUAAUAUAUAUGUAUGUUGAAAAAUAAACUGAAUGCUUGUUUUCAAAAGAGUUUAUUAUAGUAAAAGACACAAUGCCAUUAAUCCCCCGCGUAAUACUAUAACUCACUUCAAACAUGCCCCAUAUCCUUGCCAUUUUCUGAAGCAGAUCUGGAAGCUCUUUGUUUUGGUAUUUAGUUGCUCUGCUGUGAUUCGCUUCAUGUUCUGAGUUGAUUCAAAACUUUUACUUUUCCUGAACGUUUUAAAGUUGAGAAAGAGCCAGAAGUUGCAAGGCCCCAGAUGCAAUGAGUGAGGAGGAUGGUGCCAAACUUUAAUCUUUGUUCAAGCCUUCUUUAGGUUGAAUGGCACCAGGCAGCAGUAUACAUCAUGUUUGUGUGCACCUUGUAAAAGCACAGAAGACUAGAACUGCUUCAGAAAGUGGCAAGAACGUGAGAUAUGUGUGUUCAAAGUUAGGGGAAAUAUUUGAGGGGAUUUGUCCUUUACUGUCCUUUUUUUUUUUUUUUUUUUUUGGCACUGUGUAUCAAACUCAUGACCUUCUGCUUGCCAGGCAGGUGCUUAUGCCACUGAGCUAAAACCCAAGCUACUACUAUAACAAAAAUUUUUAGAAAUUAAACAUUUAUCAUACAUUUGGAUCGUGCCUUAUGUAUUCACUAGAGAUUUCUCAUCUUUUAUCAUUAACGAAACUUCUCUUUCAUUGUCUAUUUUAUCCCCUCUAUCUUUUGUCACCACUAGAGGAGAUUUUAAAUAUUUUCAGUUUGUCACAUGUAUUCCAUUGUUUAAUGACUGCAUUAUUUCUGAAUCUGUGUGCUCUAAGCAAACACAAAAACUGGAAUAAAUUUCAUUAGGAGAUAAACUACAUAUCACAAACACUUCACAUAAAUUCCUUUCUCUGCUUGUCAAGGAGAGACUUGAGAAAUGCUUGUCUCUGCAGCCUGCCCCAAGACCCAUAAAUUGCUUCACAGGAUGGGGAAAUAUGCAGUAAAUGCAGACAAAUAAUAACCACGAUCCAAAGGGACUGAGUGGACUGCCUGGGCACUUCCAACGAGCGAAGGAAAAGUGCUGGUCCUACACUGUGCUCACAGGCUCUGCCACUAGGCAAUUGGAUGAGUGAGUUGAAUAGAUAUAUUAUAAGCUUAAAUUGAUCAUUUUUUGUGUAUGUACCUGUAUUAUAUUUCCCUGUCUGAAACAGGUUCCUUACUUUUCUGGAAAGAACACUCCAGAUCUUCCUAGCAUGAACCCAAUCUAUCUCAGUGUCAGUACCUAUUGUUUGAGCUGAGUUGAUUUAUCUCUCUUGCUGCAGGGAUGGAAUCUGACCUAUACCCAAACAAUCAGAAAAUUCCAUCUUCUUGAGCAUAAUGAUUGGUCCAGAGGUGGGUAGAUGAUCCAAACAGACCAAUUAGGUCUUGGAGUCUGUAGCAUAGAGAGACUAGGAAGUAUUUCAAUUCAGCUUUGAAAGAUAAACUUUUAUAAUGAGAAUAAGAGGAAAGGGCAGUAUGGGAGAAAGUGAGGAGCAUUUCAGGGAGUGCAAUAAAUUUGAGGUGACCGGGGCAUAGUGGUUAGGAGUGAUAAGAGAAGUGGCUGGAGAGACAGGCUGGAGCUCAGUUAGACACGCCGUUGUUCAGUGCUCAUAUUAAGGGCAAUAUGAGCAAGAACAGAAUGAUACGGCAACAUUCCUAUGUUACUAGUGACUAUGGUAGCUGAGUGGGGAAAGGACUGGAGUGUGGAGCCCAGGCAAGAAAGCUGACUUGGAGCCCAAGAAAAUCAUUAAAGAAAGUAGCAGCAUAUUCACUCUCUAAGGUCACUAAAUAUGUGGGAUCAUUGAUGCUUUUUUCCCCAAUUCCGUAUCCAAGACUGAUAUUGCUAGUUGAUCCACCUUUUCCAAUUUAACAUUGUCAACCCAGUGUUGCAGGUUGUCAUUAGCAACUAUUCAUCCACAUGACCACUCAAGUUGAAACCUACCUGCCCUUCUACACCAUUCAGUAAGUAGUUAAUAUGAUGGAUAGAAAUUCUCUUGGAGUGUCUCUUGCUUUAGGUUUUUGUGUUUUUUUGUAGAGCUAAGCUCAUAACUGGAAGUAAAUGGAUGAGGGUUUGCUAAACAGGAAACAAAAAUAUUUUGAGUGAAACCUAGGGCUCUAGGAGAGACCAACUUUCCUUUCUUUUCUCAAAGCAAACAUCAGCCCUGACCCAGCAACCAAAACAAAGUUGAUAGACUCCAUGGGAGGCAGUGUCUGGCUCAAGCCACUUUUAAUGGGAUGUGGAGCAUGUGCAUUUCCUUGAGGUCACAGUUUAAAUCUGACCUAUGGUUGUAAGACCCAUUGUCUGACAGCUCCUUGGCAGCUGCAGUGAAAUGAGUUAUGGGUCUCAGGACCAUUUCUAGUAGCAUGAGUCCACUUCAGCAAAGCCGUUCUGCAGUUACUGCUGGAGAGGGAGUGCUAAAUUGAAAGGCAAAGGAAUAAAUGGAGACAGGGCUGCUACAUCUGCCUGUCAAGAGGAAUUCCCAGAGCCACUAGUAGGCCCAUUGAGUUAAAGGCUGCAGUGAGAGCUUUCACCGGGGAAAGGACAGUCUCAGGCAGCGGGAUCUGGUCUCUUGCUGGCCAAAGAAAUAGAGUAAAAGAAAAAUCAGAAGCUCCAAUGGCCUGUCUUUUGGAUAGCAGAGAGGAGAUACCAGAUCUAGGCUCUUUAAAGUAGCAUCAAAUUUGCAUGUCAAUUAAAGAACAGAAAUUCCUUCUUUGGGCAGCACUCAGAGGCCAUGUCCUUCCCACAGGAUUUGAGAUUUUUCUCAAGGUUUCUCUCUUUUGACUUAGAAGUAUUUAUGAGCUGUGAUUGAAAAAUAUGAUGUGUGUUUAAAUUUAAACAAAUUGAUUACAGUAAAAGAUACUUUGCUAUUAACCCACCUAAGAACAUUCCUUUUCACUUCAAACACAUUUAUCCCCUAAUCUUUUUGCCACUUUUUAAAAGUAGUUGUAAAAGUCCUUUCUCAUAUCUUUUAUUCGCUGUCUUGACUGUCUCAGUGUCCUGAAUCAAUUUAAAAAUAUUUACCCCUCCUGACCAUUUUGACUUAUGGGAAGAGCCAGAAGUCACACUGUGUCAGAUCCAGUGACUAAAGCAGGCAAGUAUAUAUCAUAAUGUAUGAGCCUGUCUGUUGGACAACAUUCUGCAGGGGCAUUUACUAUUUAUUAUUUUAUUUUUAAAAUCACACCUAAUAAUUGCUUCAGAAAGUGGCAAGAAAGAUGAUAUCUUAAUUAUUUUUUAAUUGCUGAGACAUAAUACUGGACACUUGUAGCUUUAAGGGUGAAAGGUUUAUUUUGGCCCACACUUUGUAGAAGCUUCAGUCAUAGUUCAUUGGCUCCAAGGUGGGGUGACUGGCAGAGGAGAAAGAGCCAAUGGCAUGGUGUCUGGGAUAGGGAGGGGGAGAGGGAGAGGGAGAGAGAGAGAGAGAGAGAGAGAGAGAGAGAGAGAGAGACAGACAGAGACAGAGACAGAGAGAGAGAUCAAAGGAAGAACAGAGAAGAAAUAAACCCAGGACAUGCCCUCAGUGACUCACUUCCUCUAAUCAGACUUCACCUCCCAAAUCACAUUUAGCUUUAAACUCAUCAAUGGGUUAACCCACUGAUGAGCAUAACAUGUCUAUGUCCAAUAAACUCCCAAAGCCCCAGUUGAGUGCAUGAGGCUUGGGGGACAUCUAAACAUAAACCAUAACAGAUGGGAAAUAAGGAAGGUGUUUUGAAUAUUCACUGUAAAUUUUGAUCACCCCUUGCACAUUAAUUCCCAUUUUAUAAAUAAAGUAGCUAAGAGCUUAAAGGAAUAACUUGCCCAUCAUUUGAGAUAAAUGCAUACUUCUCAGAUAAAGAACUACAAAUGGCAAAUAAUAUAUGAAAAACGUUUGAUAUCUUUGGUCAUCUGAGAGAUACAAAUUAAAACAGCACUGAGAUUCCAUCUCAUUCUAGAAAGAAUGACUAUCAUCAAAAAUCAACCAGUAAUAAAUACUGGUGAGCCUGGGGGGAAAAUGCAACCCUUCUGCACUGUUGGCGGUAGUGUAGACUGGUGCAACCACUGUGGAAAUCAAUGUGGAGAUUCUUCAAAAAGCUAGGAUUGGAGGUCCCAUUUGAUCCAGUUGUUUCCCUUCUGAGUAAUUUCUUGGAAGAAUUUAAAACAGCACAGCACAGCUAUAUGUACACUGAUGCUUAUAAUAGUAGAAUUUAUAAUAGCUAAAUCUUGGAAACAACUCAAAUGCCCAUCAAUAGAGGAAUGAAUACAAAAGAUGUGAUAUUUUUAUUUAAAGGAGUAAAACUCAGCUCUAAAGAAAGAUAAACUUGAAGCUUUUAUAGGUGAAUGAAUGCAACUUGAGACUACACUCAUAAGUGAAAUAACUAGAUUCACAUGUGUAAACAACAUAUUGUCUCCCUAGUGUAAAAAAUUGAAAGCAUAAAUAAGAUCCAAAAUGUACAACAGAUACUGUAAAAGUGAAAGAGAAAGAAACUGCUUAAAUGGGAAGAAUAACUCGAAAGGGGGGAAGGAGAAAAGAAAGAAGGGAAAAUAUUAUAUAUACACAAUAUAGAUAAUAAUACUACUGAUCUCUAUUAGUUUAUCAAAAAGAAUGAUUAGUGCCUUCAUUGUUUAUUUUUUUCAUGCCUGUAUCUUGUGAUCUGAUCAACUAUUUUGAAGAUAACCAUACACAAUGUAUUAACCAUUGUUAAUGUCUUAUUAUUUUGUUUUGAAAUUCUGUACCAUCAUUUUAAUUUUUUUUUGUUUAAAAAAAAAUUGCCCAGGCUGCACAUCCAGAAGUGAUGAAACCCAGAUUUCUUCAAGUGUCAGACUGAUUCCUUAGCCCAUGUUGGUUUCAUUCUACUGCACAUAAAUAAAAGUUGCAUGUAAAUAAUGGUUGAGUGGGAAUAUCUGUCCCCAAGUAGAAUAAAAUAAAGUGACUUAAAAGUCCUUAAAAGCAGUGGAUACUGAGCACUCUGCUAAGCAUCUUGUAAGAAUAUUCCCAGUGAAUUCACAGACUACGCCAUGCACUGGGUUCUGUUCCCAUUUUACAUAUGAGGGAAUUUAGAGUUCAAUAUUUUAUCUAAGUUUCCUGGGCCCAAGUAAUACAGCUGAUGUUAGGAUUUAGGUCUAUUUUGCUCUAAAACACACACUCUGACUCAAUAAAACUGAUGUGGUACGUAUUUAUAGAGACUUACUGUUAGAGGCACAUGAAAUUACAUUGGGAGGACAUAAAUGAGUAUUUUUAAAAGGUAUUUAUAGAUAACUAUGAUAUUCAUCUGUUAUUUCAUUAAAAAGAACAUUUUGUACUUUCAUUGUUUGAUUGUUUGAUCAUUUGUUACAUGCCUUUAUAUUGUAGUCUAAACAACUACUUUGAAGACAACAGUAUGCAAUAAUCUCCUGUUAUGUUGUCUUGAAAGUCUGUAUCAUCAUUUUUAUUCCUUUUUUUGCUUUAAAAUAUAAAUAAAUUACCAUAGGUAAAUAAACUGCUUUUUUCCCACUGGGGUAAAAAAAGCAUUUCUUUUUUAAAACUUAAUUUAUAUAAAUUAAAAAGUGAGCCAAUUUAAAUGAAUUAAUUCAGUAAAACAAUUAAUAAUGUGGUACAUUAGGCAAAGAAGGCCCGCGUGGCUCAUGGAGGCAGCAGUUCGAGGGUCACUGUGCUUUGCUAGGCUGCUUUCUAGAGGUGACUCAGCCUGCUGCAAGCAGAGAGGAUUGUGCAGAGGCUGCAGGUGCUACUGCUAGCGGAGGUGGGCCUGCCUGCUCCGAAGAAUAUUGCUGCCUUGGGGGCCUUAAAGGAAAAGGAUUCUUCCUGUCAGCUCCUGUAUGCUGCACCAUGUGGGAAGGUGUUUAGUCUGCCUUACUUUUAAAUUCUGUCUGAAUGCCCACAGCCAAUUAAAGUCCCUCUUCCUCCGUGAAGCUCCUUGUGACUCCCUACUGCCCUCUUUUUUGUACCAUAAAAUUAGAUUCUUCACAAUGAAAUCUAGUAAUGUGCUGUUAUUUUUUAUCUUUAUUGUGACCAGAGGUAGGAAGUAUAUUUCAUAUCAUAUACUAACUCUUAAAGACUGACACUGGUGAGGGAACUGCUGGUUCCAAGGAAUUCUGAGGUUACGAGGGAGCUCUGCAGGAGAGACACCAUGAUCAAUUUCAGUGAUGCCUAUCACGGGGCAGGUGAAGUGAGAAGAGGCGUGCAUGCCACACAUUUAUCACUUGUUCUUGAUUCUCCAACCAGAUCUCGAGAAAAUGAUCCAUAUCUCAGACACUGCACUUUCCUUAGCAUGUCACAUAUUUAUAGAUUUACUGAUUCUGUCUCUCAUUUCUCCUGAAGAUUGAAUCUGUAAUUCCAAGAGAAUCAGAAGUCAUUGUAUUAAAUUUCACUGUGGAUUACAGGUAUUGAAUCUGCACUUCUGGUUUAAAGAUGAAAUAGCUGCUUACUAAAGAGCAAUUGACCUUUUCUUUUUCUCUCCACUUAAUCCACCAAGAACUGAACAGAGAAUUUAAGGAUGAGGGAAAGGAGCCAGGAAAGGAAAUGAAUCAGAAAAGCAAUGCCUUUAGGCCAAAAUGAGUUUCCAUAAUAGCAUUUAGGUGAUGAUUUUUUUCCAUAUGCUAACCCAGCUGUAUUUAAUCAUUUCCCCUUUUUGUAUGUAAUCUCUUUGUUUUUCUCUGUGAUUCUAUUACUUGUUGCCAAAGAGGAGACAGCUAACAGGUAAGAAUGGUUGGCUCCCUGGUCCUCUUUGCGAGAGAUUUCAUCAGCACCACGGUGAAGAGCAGCAGCUGUCAGGAUUCAUUCACAGUGGGACAUUGAUCUAGACAAGUGCCUGCAUGGGAACUGGAGGUAUCAAUUCGUAGUGGGGAAAAAUGAUCCACCAACAGAAUGCCAUCUACAUAUGUAGGGAAGGUGCUCCCUGACAAGGCUAUGCCAUAAGCACAGUGCCACUUCAGGCUCUGCUCAUCUCUCUUCUAGCCCUGCUUUACAGGUUCUCUUCACUGUCCUGAAAUGUUUAUUGCCUUCAGAGCAGAGCACACUUUUUCCUGAGAAAAGUACUUUAGAAUAUAUUUAAUAUAUUCUAAAAGUUCUUUAGAAUAUAUUUUUUCUAACUUUCCUAUCCUCUAGCAUCAGAGUUUUGUUCUUAGUUUGUUGAACACAUUCUAUGCAGCAUAAGUUGGUAUUUUCUAGUACUUCUAAUGACACUUAUAAGCCUAAUGCUCUGCAUUUGGUGGUCUAUUUAUUUUUUAGUGUCAUGGAAUCAUGCUAGUGGUAUGCAUACCAGGUUGUAUGACAGGCCAGGGGAGGAAACUUUGUGUUAUAAAGAUUUCCUUUGAAUGCAUGGUGCUGGAGACCAUUUUUGUAUCUGAGUGCUUCCUGGCAGUGGAUCUCAACCAGCAUCCUGCAGAAGUCAGCUGUCAAGUGUUGAUAAAUAAAAAUAUGUGAGCUGAUUUUUGCUGUGACAGAGACUCCCUGUGGGUAAAAUUGUGUCUGUUGGAAUUUAGAAUUAAGUGGCUCAUGCAAUGCUGUAUAAGCUUAAGACUUGCUGCAAAUAAAAGACAUAUCAUGCCAUUAAGGUGAUACCAAAAGAGACUAUGUUUACUGAAAUGUGAAAAUAACUGGGCCUUGUAUACAUAUAUAAAAGCAAAGUUAAGUCAGGAAAUGCGAUUACUUAAAUGUCUACUGAAAUCCCUGUUCUAAAGAAUGUUGUAUCAUUCUUAUUUCCAGAGACCAGAUUAUACCUGAUCAAGGAAGGCCCUCCAGAGCUGUAUCAUGACCUCAGGAACAAGAUCAAAAGCUCCUCAGCCUUUGAGAGUCAGAUCACACAUCAUCUUUUCCAGGAAGCUACUCUGUCUCUGAGAAACUGUGAUUGAAAUUCUUUGAAUGCUAGAAAUAUGUGAUGAAGAUGCCUUGAGUUGAGCAAGUUUCCUCUACUAGAUCCUUCCAUCAUGAUGUUUCUUCCCUAGAGUCAGACAGUCGUGCACUACAACCUCCGAAACUGGGAUUUAUUCUUCAUUUGAAGAGACAGACACAUAAACAAUUCAACACCAAAUCUCUAAAGUGCUGAAUAGAAGGCGUAUACGUCAUGUAAGGACAACAGAUUCUGCAUCAGGGGAAUCAAGCAAGUCUUUACAGAUGAAAUGUCUUGAAAGUAGGAUUCUGGUACAUGGGUAUCCUCGCUGAGGGGAUAAUGUGAACAAGGCACACAGGUAGAACUCUUUGGAACACAAAUUGAAAAUAAUGGGUGCUUCAGUUUGACUGGAUGUUGCAGAUUGUUGUGGCUAUUAUAUAACAGAAUGAAAAAAGUUGAGUUAACACUUUGUUCUGGAAGGCUUUCAAUAUGCAAAAAUAAGUUUUCAACAAUAGUAAAGGAAGACUUCAUUCACUUAUCCUUUUCUUCUUUUAUUCAACAAUAUUUAUUUACUGCUUUCUACCAAAAAUGAUUUUGAUGUUAAAGUGUGGAAUUGGAUAUAGGCAGGGAGUAUCCAGCCUAGCAAAGGAGAAAGAACCAUACAUAAGCAAUUGCAUUAGGGUAUUGAGUACCUUAAUAACUGGGGAGGAGGGAAGACAUCUUGCAAAGUGACCUGUCCCACCUGGGGUGAAUCAGAGAGAGCUUUUAGGGAAAUGACUCUAAGCUGGCAUCUGUGGGAAUGGCUCUAGUUUAAAAUAAGGUAAACGAGGUGAAGGGAGAAUAUUUUCAGUGGAUAAAUAGCUUGUGAGAUGAAUCAGAAGAGUCUCCAGACUUGCAAGAAAGUUGAAUGUUGGUACAGGGCUGAGUGCAAGGUGCCAGAGAUUGGAGGGCUUAUGGAGAUCAUACUAAUAGAGCCUUGUAACUCAUUCUGGGCUGUCCAGGCUUUAUCUAAAACUUGGAAAGAACUGAAGGUAGUGCUUGCUUUUGUUAUAGAGGGGCAGGGUGUGCACAGGAUCAAAUUCCAUUCGAAUUUUAGAAAAAUGUCUCAGUAGAUUAAAAUAUGGGAACUGGAAGAGGAAGAUCAACUUUGAGGCUAUUGCAGUCAUCUUGGCAAAUGAGUCUGUGUUCACUUUCUCCCCAAAUGCACUAUAAUGUAGGGGAAAGGAAGGGCAAUUUUGAUCAUCUCUGCAUCCUGUUAUGUGCACCACGAACUUGGUUAAUGAAGAAGGGAAUACUGGAUUUCUAUCAUGUUAGGCAUCGUUUCUAGUGAUUGUUGAGGGGAGACCUGAUGGAUCUGUGCUCUCCCAGUGGAAGGAGAAAGGAUUCUAUGUUCUUCCAUGAAGACUCUGGAAAUGUGGCCUUUGCAUCCUAUGGCAAUGUUUACUGAAUAUCACUGUCUUGAAAAAUUACUCUAUGUGUGGUUGGAUUGAUUUCUCAGAGACCAACAUUUGCCUGUGAAGGUGACAAAUGAGAAGCAGUGCCCUUUCACUCUAAUGAGACUGAAAGCCGGAAGCAGCGGCUACAGAGGGCUGUGAGUAGGGCGGCUGAUUUGACAGCAAUUGGGUGCACUUGUGAACUUUCUCUUUUUCCCCUAGGAAAUCAGAAUGGCAAGCAGCAUGGUAUCAGAAUGUGUCAUGCAAAAUUUCCUGACUCAGAGCUUGUCUGAUACCCUUGUCACUUGGAGUGGUCCUGUAAAUUUAUUCCAGAGGAUGGAAACUGCUUUUCUUGUUCUUGCAGACAUAUAGCUUUCCCCCUCUGUUUUCAUGCAAUUAUAAUUUUUGCAAAAAAUACUUUAGUAAGGAAAGACUUUAUUCACUUAUGCCUUCUUUUAUUUAUUUCAUGCUUUCUGCUAGUAACUAUUUUAAUCCUAAAGCACUGAGAAUUGGAUAUAUCCAAGGAGUUUCCAGGUUAGCAAAGGAGAGAGACUCACACAUUUGUUUGGUAUUUAUUUUUGAUUUGAUUGAAGAGUAUGAGAUGGGGAAAUGUGCAUCACUACUUGUAUUUAUGCUAAGACUGACUCAGAACAAUAGAACUGAAAUAGAGCGUAAAAUAUACCGAACUUGAAAACUAACCACCAGGUAGUAACUUGGUCCUAAAAUAUUUUUCAUCAUUGUGUGAAUUUUCUUUUCUUGCUGAGUAAAAAGUUGCUACACACUUAAUGGCUUGAAAUAGCAUGAAUUUAUCUGAAAAUGUCCAUGGAUCAGGAGUCUGGGCACUGAUUACCAGAUCUUCAGCUCAGAGUCUUACAAGGCUAAAAUAAGUCUUAGACAGCUGUGUCUUCUAUCUGGAGGUUAAACUCAGGAAACAUCCACUUCCAGACUCCCUUAUUUACAUGGACAGAAUUCGUUUUCGUGCACCUGUAGGACUAAAGUAAUUUCUUUCUUAAUAGUUUUCAAGUAGAGGCUGAUUCAGCCCCUGGAGACCACAUAUCAUACCUUAUCAUGUGCUCCAUGACACACUAUGUGGGUUUUCCCCCCAUUUUUUUCUCCAGAAUUUCUUGAUCAAUUUGAAUUUUUCAAACUGCUUUUAAGGGCUCACUUGAUUAGGUCAAGCCCAACCAGGAUAAUCUCCUUUUUGAUGAAUUUAAAGCUAACUGAUUAGGAACCUUAAAUCCAUCUGCAUUGUCCCUUCUGUCAUGUAAUGUGCCAUAAUCAUGGCAAUGCCUUGUCAUAAUCACAUGUCCCCUUCACACUUGAGGGGAGCUGAUUAUGCAGGAUGUGCUUAUUGGGGCAUGGCGCUCUGUGGCCUGUUUAGGCUUCUGAGUGCCACAGUUCCCAGCCAGGAUUGUCCACAGGCAGACCCCUUAAACUGAUGGAUCAUACUUUCUAAUUUGCAAAAUAAAUGUAUUCUGAUUUUACUUGUUCUUGUGCCGGUCGACUGUCAAGUGACACAAUGUUUGUGGCUUAUAAAUUAAAUUUAUGACUGCAUGCAUGAAGAAUUGUGCCCAUGAGAACUGGCUAGCUUCUAGAUGUGUUUUUUUCCCCCCUAACAUUAUAGUUUUUUAAAAUUAUCAACUUUUAAUUAUUGGACAUUUAGAUGUUUAUAAUGCUUAUUAUUACAUAUACUGAGUGUGAUAAGUUAUAAAUAAUUUUAAGGGUUUUUUUUUUUCCAUCCUUUUUUGAGAUGAAAUCUUGCUAAGUUACCCAGGCUGGCUUUGAACUUGCAAAUGCUCUUGUCUCAUCUUCUCAAAUAGUUAGAAUUGCAGGUAUACAUCAUUCUAAUCUAGUUCAGCUUAUUUAUUUUCAACAGAGAUUAAUUAGUUAUACCACAGAAGGGUACUAAUGGCGAACAGGUCUAAGCAUUCAAAACUUACCUGAAAUAAGAGAAAAGUGCAAAUCUGUGGGUCCUAUAUUUAUCCAAGGAUGUGAUAGAAUGACUUUUCAGAAUGAAUUGAAACCAAUAAAAAGGGAGGAAUGUAGAGAGAUAGUUUUCAAAAACUACUUUUCAGUUCCUGCCUUAGCAGCAUCUAAUUUUUAAAAUUAAAAAUCUAUUUUAUUAUUGUACUAGAUGUUAUUUUUAAAUAGUAAAAUUAGUUAAUUAGUUCAGAGAAUAGAGACAACUGAUCAAAGACCGAGACACUUUUUAAAAUGUUCUGUUUCUUUUGUUUGUUUAAGAGGAAAAUUAUUCCCUAACAUGUAAUGUAAAUUGAGAGACAAAAAUUACACAUUAAUGAGAAUGUACACAAAAUUGAUACUUUAUGCUUUGGACCUUAAGUUUUUUAUGAAUAAUUAGAAGCAUAAUACUGGUGACAGUGUAUAGUUCUUAUAUUUAUUAUUUCAUUUUUAACAAAUAUAUAUUGAAAACCAACUAUGGUGGGCAUUAUUCUAAGUGCUGGAGCACAUAAAAAAUAAAACAAGUGAAAUUCACUGCCAUAGUGGUGCUUUCCAUGAGGAUGAACAACAUAGGCAAUGAUAAAGCUCUCAGUCUUUAGUGUUUUUGAAAUGCCUUGACAUACUGUCUUUAUUCUUACACUGUAAGCCUGUAGAUAAGGAAGGGAGCAUUGCUAUCUUCAUUUUGUAAUUAUGAAGGUGAUUAUUGGUUAGGCCACUGUACCCGUUCAAAAUCACAUGGUGCAUAGCUGGGAAAGAGACCAUGAUGGACAUACAGUACAGGGAGCAAAGUAGGCAGACCGCUUUGAGUUACCUGAAAACAGUGACUUAUCAACUGGAAAGGUCUUCUAUGCGCUUUAAUUCUUUGGAAGAGCUUUUAUUUCUGUGUAAUAUUACAUAGAAAGAAGCACAGGGGAAAGAACAUUGGACUGGAAUCUUCUAGAACAGCUCUGUAAAUGGACGCUAGGUCCAUUUCCAGAAAGCAAGAAUUGUGCCUUUAUAUUUGUGUAUGGAGUUUUAUUUAUAAUGUACAUUCCCAGUUACUUCUAUUCAUCCCCAUGACCUGGUAAAAUGCCAGACUGGAGAGUUAAAUUUUAACAUAUAAGAGAAAUUGGGUCUGAGAAGUUGAGUGAAUUAAUCCAAACUGCACGGUAAUCAGUGGCUGAUAGAGCAUGAGGUAAUGGAAGUAGGUAAGCCUCACAUUUUGUUUGUAUUUGAAAAUUCACGAUACUUUAGAAUUUUAGUAAUCACAGUAAUAAUGAAAUAAUUCUGGGAAUUAUAUAUAUACAUUAUGGACAUGGUGGCCUAAAAUUAGCAGUGGUCCCUUUUGCAGUUUUAGGCAAAACUUUAAAGCAACUAAUCGUACACUACCCAGGCCUUUUGUAUAGACUCAUGAUGGGUUUUGGCCAUCCAUUUCCUUCACAUGGCCUUGCAUACUGAAAUUCAUUUGGAUCAUGGCUUCUGUUAUCUGAUCUAAUAAACGUAACAGUGGAAUAACAGGUUAAUAGAGAAAGUCAAAUUUUGUAGAAUGGGAUGUUGUUGGUACAGUCUAGUCAGUCUCACAGCAAAGUUGUGAAAUGGGUAAUAUUUGUCUUGUAUGUUUUCACUUGGCCUUCAUUUUUGGUAGGGUUUUUAUUACCUUUCAAAAAAUUAGAGGACAGUGGAAAAGAAAGCAACCCGCUCGCCUCCCUGGUAAGCAGCCAUGGCUCAGGCAAGUGGCAGCCGCCCCAGGAUGAGAACCAGCCAGCAUCUCCGGAGGUCCACACCAUGCUGGAACCUAGGGCACUGGGAAACCAAGCAACCUGCUUGUCUCCCUGAUAAGCAGCCAUGAGCCUGCUGGCACACAGACUGAGAAUCAAACAUCCCAUUUUCCCACUCCCCACCGUUAGCAAAUGGGAGCCAGAGGUCUGAGCAUCUCUUGGGAGGUUGGCCAUAUGCAAUAUAACAAAUAGGGGGAUUUCCUUCUACCAUCUCUUUGAAGGCCAGUAUUGUUAUCACUGUUUUGCUUUGUUCUGAUUAAUUGUUUUGCUUUAUUCAAUAUUCUGCUUUGCUAAGUUCUAUAAUGUUCUGUAUUUGGUUUGAUUUUGCUAUAUCUGAUUGAAAGAACAAUUAUUAUGAAGAUAAUGAGAUAUACUAUGGUACCUAUUACUGUUAUCCUGGUAACCUGAUGUGACGUCCUGUACCAAUUUCACUGCACUAUCUCAAUUGGCUUUAUUCUAUCUUGUUCUGUUGUAUUUCACUACCUUCAAAACAAUAAAAAAUUUAAAAAAUCAAA
Molecule: RNA transcript, 44128 nt
Organism: Cavia porcellus (domestic guinea pig)
Lineage: Eukaryota; Metazoa; Chordata; Mammalia; Rodentia; Caviidae
Gene: Prelid2
Gene name: PRELI domain containing 2
Exons: 11
Source: RefSeq, a predicted model, not a curated record